Octopus bimaculoides (California two-spot octopus) is the source of this 6718-nucleotide long non-coding RNA. NCBI's taxonomy places the organism in Eukaryota, Metazoa, Mollusca, Cephalopoda, Octopoda, Octopodidae. The record is from RefSeq and is a predicted model, not a curated record.
GGAAUAUUUGCAAUCAUUUCCUGAUAGGCAAAUUCAUCUUUUUCAGAACACUGAAUUAGCCCAUCCAAGACCAGAACAUUUCCAAACCUCUUGCUAAAAAAGAAAAUGACUUUAUGCAGUCAAUAUUCAGUUAUUAUAUGACUACCAUGUGUGCCACAACCUUAUUUUCUGUAAUCUGAAAAUGACCACACUAAUUUGAAGAUAAAACAGAAACAAGGUAUAGAAUUUAGGAGACCUGUUUGGUGAGGCUGUCAAUCAAUGAUACAUGAAUAAAUGAGCCAUUUUCAAAAUGGCUGCCCUGCUAGAAGCCUGUCAGAAGUAAAAAGUAGUGACUGAAUUCCUGAAGGAGAAAUUCUUGUAAGCAUUUACAAAAGACUGAAAAAUGUUUACAAAUAUAAAACUUUAAACUAGAGCAAUAAGUGGAGGUGGGCACACUGCCUUAAUGACAAUUCCAACAGACCAAAAAAGAUUUUCAUUUUAAGAAGGAAGAGCCAUUUGGUUUUUACAAUAAUGAAUCAUAAGAGAAAACUACUAAUGAAACUGGAGAUAUCAGGUCUGGACCUGAAUAAAGUGUCUUCUGGAUAGGCACAUUAUCAAAAACUGAAAAUGACUCAAAUAAAACAUUAAUCUUGCAAAUUGUCGACAUGCUUUGUAGUGACUGAUCGUCAACUGUCAAACUUGUCAACAAGGAAAAAGCAGAUGCUUUAAUUAAAGCCGGUAAAUGCAUAACCAUUGAUGAGCUGGCAUCAGAACUUGGAGUUAGCCAUGAUAGUUCUCAAGACAUUAUUGAGUCACUUGGAUAUUGAAAAGUGUGGUCAAUGAGAGGGUAAUUGUUGCACUGUGCUCCUUGAACUUAGCAAAAGACAGAACCUUCUUCAAAGGCUCAUAACAAGUGGUGAAACUUGGAUUCAUCAUUGUAAACCUGAAUCAAAAAGACAAUCAAUGGAAUUGUAUCAUCCAGUGUCUCUAAAGACAAGAAAGUUCAAAGCAGAAAGUCAACUGGAAAAAUCAUGGUGGCUAUCUCUUGGGAUGCUCAAGGUGUUAUUCUUAUCGAGAAGAGAAACAGAUAACUUUAAAAGCAGACAUUGAGAUCCUUAAAAGACUUAGAGCAAGAAUUUACUGUGCAAGAUAUGGAGACAGAUAAAAUGCUUCAACACGGCAAACCUCAGAACAAGGGAGGCAAUCACUUCUUUUGGGUGGACAUCUCUGUCACAUCCUCCUUACUCGACUUAUCACUCUCAGAUUCCCAUUGAACCAGAGAUGCGAAUCUGAGAGUGUUAACUUGAGAGGGGAGGGCGUGCAGGAAAGAUCAAGGAAUGGACCCUAAAUUUUUCACUUGGUUCAAUAUUAACUCUCAUCUACAUAAUACAUACCUCUGUACAUAGAAGCUUUUUCAGACCACCCUAGUUAUUCACCUACUCCUAGCUUUCUUAAUACCUACCAGAUCAUUAGAAUGAGGGGCUCUGUUGCAGGCCUUCUCUUGGUCUAUAAUUGCUGUGUAUAGAGAGAUUUACUUCUAGCUAAGUAUUUCUCUUGCAGUUAUCUCAUUAGAAAGAUAUCAUCAAUGGUACCACUUCUUCAUACAAAUUUAUACCAUUUCUAAUCAAUUUUGCAAAAGCUUUUUCUGUAAUUUCCAUGAUGUAUCUUACAAUUUGAUACCCUUGUUAUUUCCUCCCUCUAAUGCAUUAUCUCUCCUGUUGUAACAAUUUACUAUAAUUCUGCUAACUGGUCUCUCUGUUGGGUCUACUUGGAGUAGACUCUCUCUCUCCCAUGCAUCGUCUUCUCAUUGUCGCACACUCAUGCCUCUUUCCUGCACACGUUUUACAGUGUGACAACUAGAGAUGCAAAGUAUUCAGAAUAAAAAGACAGAAUAUCAGAGAGAAUUGAGGUGACAUCAAGAAGUGUAUACAGAUUAACAGUGGUGCAUUUACUGUCACUCACACCAGCACCAGUUAUUCUGUAAACUUCAGGUCUCUGAUUCUCACACCCUACAUGUGGAAACUUCUUUCUUGACAUCUGCCUCUUUUUAAAUAUAUGUUGUCCAGUUUUCUUUUUAGCUUUUUGACAUUUGUCUUUGUAACUUCCUUUCUUCCAGUCUUCACAGACCUGUCUAAGCUCAUUAUAUCACUUCGCACGAGGUGUUGCUCCAACCAUAUACUUGGUGUGUGGCCUUCAGCAGACUGUCCCAUUAGAUAUGCUUGCAUUUGACUAUAAGUCUUUAUUUCAUAUCAUCAAAUGCUCCAAGAAAUACUUCUCUGAACAUCUUUUUCAUGGUUCUCUAAAAUUCCUUAUUUUUGUUCUCCAAAUUGUCUUGAAACCUUAGCAUAUCUUGACCAUAUUUUUGUCUCACAACCACUUCAAUUCUUUCUGCCAUGAAGGAAUAAAGUUAAUAUACCACAUGUAAAUAUUCAAAACAGAUUUUUACAUUAACACUAAGUUUAAUUCAUCCAUGACUUAUGUCCCAUGCACCACAACAAGAGAAACAGUUUUAGCUCUUAUUUUGAAAUCCAUAAUCACUAUUCUAUUUAGGGGAAAGGCUUAAUAUUUAGUUACCUGUCUAUCUGAUUGACUGGUGAGAAUGGAAGUCUACCUAACUUUUUGGGUUCACCUCAGUGGUUCUCAACCAGGGUUUAUAUGACCCUUGGGGGGGGGGGCAGGAGUCCAAAGAAGAUUUUGUUAAAGUUUGGUGCAAUAGGUUGGUUAUACUUCUACAAUAUGUGAAGGUGCAUGGCUGUGGUUAGAGCAUCAGGCUCACAAUUGUGAGGUAGUGAGUUCGAUUCCCAGACCGGACUGCAUGUUAUAUUCUUGAGCAAGACACUUUAUUUCAUGUUGCUCCAAUUCAACCAUGUGUAGAAACGAGUUGCGACGUCACAGGUGCCAAGCUGUAUCGGCCCCUUUGCCUUUCCUUUGGAUAACACUGGUUGUGUAGAGAGGGGAGGCCGGUAUGCAUGGGCGAUUGCCGGUCUUCCAUGAAACAACCUUGCCCAGAUUUGUGCAUUGGAGGGGAAUUUUCUAGGUGCAGUCCCAUGAUCAUUCAUGACUGAAGGGAGUCUUUACCCUUUUUACUUCUACAACAUACGAGAUACUUUAACAAUAUUUUAUACAAUUCCUAAUAAAAUUUAAUUAUAAAAACAGGGUUUUUUAAGUAAGUGGCUAUGGGGGGUCCAUCUGAGUAAAACAAGAAUCAAAAGGUCAAUAAGCAAAAAAAAAAAAAUGGCUGAGAACCACUGAUCUAAGUUGUAGGUCAUCAGGUGGCCAGUUGGUUGCAAAUGUUGAAGUCAAUUGAAUCACAAAACUCCAGUAGACUUGAUCCUUUCUCAUCCUUGUUACUGGAGUGCAGAUGUGGCUAAGAAGUUUGGGAGCUGUACCAGGCUCCAUUAUCUGUUUUUACAGCUUGAUUCUCUUCCUAAUGCCAACCACUUUACAGAGUGUACCAAGAGCUUUUCACAUGGCAACAGCACCAGCGCAGUUUAUGUGGCACCCUCAUUGACAAGGUCACCAAGUACCUUGUAAGACAAGAAGAGGCAAAACCCCCUCAACUGAAAGGGAGGGAACAGUAUUAAGGGGUGUGGCUUUGUGCCAGUUGAAAGAUUGAAAGUACAGAGAUAGUGUCUUGCUGUAGAUACAUGGAUAUCCCAAUUGGAAAAGAAGAGACAGUGAUAGAGAGGAGAGGAUGAUGAAGAUGUGUUUGGACAUGCCCCAGAGCAGUAAUUCUUAAUGUUGGGGAAUACACUCCAUUGGUGGGGGUCCCAAUUUUUUUUUGGUUUUUUAGAGGGACAUGGAAUUGUGAAGAUUCUUUUUCACAGCAAACACACUACACCAAUACUCAGCCAAGCUAGACCGAUCUCUCCAGUCAAGUUUAGUAUAUGAAGACUGUUUGCUACAGCAUAGCACUUUUUUUUUGUAAUCAGUACUAAAUGAAAGAGUUACUGGUAGAUUAUUUUGUAUUAAAUAAUUGUGAUAAAAUAUAAAAUUCUUUUUUUCCAACUACUAGUGCGGUAUACAUUUUUCUGGUAAGUUAUAGUGGAGCUUGGAAGAAAAUAAGUUGGGAAACACAAUCCUUGAGGGACAUUGGAGUAGCGAGAAUAGGUGAGGUGAUAUAGAGGUCUGGACUGGAGAGUGGGUAGGAUAGACAAUUUUCUAAGAGUAAAAUCUUUGUCUAUUAAUGGUCCUAUGUUUUGUUUUUUUUUUACCUCUCUCUCUCUCUUCUAAACAUUUAUCUGUCCUUAAGAUUAAAACAAUUUGGAGUAGUUUUCAAGAUACUGAUAGCAAAAUAUUAUCUAAUCAUCUGGCAAAAAUUAGUUUUUAAUGAAAUAUCAUGGGAUAUAUAUCUGGUUGCUUGUAAAAGCUAGUUUUCUCUACUUUCAUAUCCAAAAGCCUUGGGAACAUACUUUUUUCAGUGGAACCAGCACUUAUUUUCAUAUCAAGAAAAUAAACCAACAAUUCAAUAUAUCAUCUGCAGGAUACAUAUGUGGCACUGACUUGAGCAAGAGAACUAAGCCACCAGACCAUGGAUCAAAGGGUACCAGGCUGCACAGAAAAAAUACAUUCCAUUCCUAUUUAAUUUACUAUUACAGCCUGCAGGGUAUUUUUGCAUUAUAUAUACAUGUAAUUUAGCUUUCAUUUCCUGUUUCAGUCAAUAGGCUGCAGCCAUGCUGGAGCACAACCUUGAUGAAUUCCAGUUGAAUGAAUAAACCCUGAUACUUAUUCUGAUCUCUUUAGUCAAACCACUAAGUUACAGGGACAUAAACACACCAAGAGUGGUUGGUGAGGGACAAAUAGAUACAUACAUGAUUGCUUUCUUGCAAUUUCCAUCCACCAAAUCCACUCAAGGCUGAGACUAUAGUUGAAGAAACUUGUCCAAGGUGCCAUGCAGUGGGACUUAAUCUGGAUCAUGUGAUUAGGAAGCAAGCUUCUUUUUUUUUUUUACCACACCUGUGCUUAUAUAUAUAACUAAAUUAUACAUGUGGUUCCCUGGUCAGUGGAAUAAUUUUCAUGCAUGAAACUGGUUCAUGGACUUGGAUUACUUUAAUAACUUUUUAUGAAAUGGAAACAAUGCAAAGUUAACCGUCAUUUUUUUCUAAUUUUAUUUAAUUAAACAGUAUAUUGCUGAUGUGAUGUACUAAAUGUAUGCAUUUAUCACAGAUAUAGCAUUUUGUACCAUACUUCUUAAUUAAGUUAGCAUUACCAAUUAAUUCCUUUCAAAAUGUUUUGUUAGUCUAACAGUAAUAUUAAGAUUGUUAAAGGGUAGAUAAUCCAGUUGAAUCAAUACACAUUUAUGAAGUUUUAAAAUUUCAACUAUAAAGGAAAAAAAAAAUCUUAGUUUUCAUAAAUGGAAUGAUACACAAGCUUCAAAUAUAAUUCAGAAACUAUUUUAUGGAAUAAUUUAGAGUUGCAAUUUCACAGUAUCAUUCAGUUAUUAAAUUUAUUUAACAUUAUUUACAUUUGACGGAUAUUCGUCCUCAUCUUGUUUGUUGUUAACACGUUUCGGCUGAUAUACCCUCCAGCCUUCGUCGGGUGUGUUGGGGAAAUUUCGAACCUGGGUUCUCAUUCCUAAGGUAUUUUUAGAUAUUAUGAUUCAGAUCACUGCUGAAAUUGAACUCGGAAUCUUGGGGUUAGUAGCCCGUGCUCUUAACCACUACGCCAUGUGCGUAGUGGUUAAGAGUGCAGGCUACUAACACCAAGAUUCCGAGUUCAAUUCCAGGCAGUGACCUGAAUAAUAACAACAUUGAAAAAUCCCUUAGGAAUGAGAACCCAGGUUCGAAAUUUCCCUAACACACCCGAUGAAGGCUGGAGGGUAUAUCAGCCGAAACGUGUUAACAACAAACAAGAUGAGGACGAAUAUCCGUCAAAUGUAAAUAAUUCCUCAUCUCUUAAAUAUAGAACUGAAAUAUAUUUAAGUUUGAAAGCAAUUUAGAUACACAAGAAUUUUUUGUAAAUAUAAAAGCUAGAAACAUAUAAUAAAACAAACAUUUAUAAUAAAUCAAAUAAACGAACACAAACUUUUAUUACAUUUCUUUUUAUUCAUGAACAACUACAAGUCAUAAGUCUAAGAUAACAAGUUAACUUGUGCAUCAUAACAGGGGUGCCCCCACUGAAAUAGUUGGAAGGGAAAAUAACUUAAAAACAACUAAAAUGGAAAAACAAAACCCCAUAAAAGUCAAACUUUUUCAAGCAAGGGACGUGUCCAUCUGCAUUGAGUUGUAUGAGAGAAUGUGUGUAUCAGUGAGUGUAAUGAGUGUGUUCGUCUGGCUAUUAAGGAGACAGGCUAUAUUGUCCAUAUUUGGUCAAACUCACUCAACAAUUGUAUUUAGAAAUACAGUAGCAGGACUGCCAUUGUCCUUAACAGUAAUAAUAAUCACCAUAUACAUAUGUACACACACACACGCACACACAGAACUGGUAUUAAUUUACUAAGGAUAUCUAAAUGUUUAUUUAUAUAUGUAUGUACAUAUAUGUAUAUAUUUAUACAGACACACACAAGCACUCACACACUCAUACACACACAUGAAUAAUAAUAUAAUAAUCUAAUUUUGCCAAUAUAAGGGCAGUAGAAAAAGGUCAUGACAACAAUCAAUUUCAGUGACGGGCUUCCCAUUCAUUAGUGUAACUUUAACCUUUAAAAUAAUUCUCCCAAAUUUACACUGUUUUCCAAGGGACCUCUAAAUGAAUACAGACAACAUCCAUCAUACACUGUAUAAGGCCCAAACAAUAAAAA